AUGGCACAGGGAGCAUGUCAGCAACUUUCCACGUCUUCCCUUGGUGGCUCCCUCUCUUCCCUCCAGCCUGAGGUCUCUUGUCUUCUUGGGUGGUCUCACUUAAUCCCAGUGGCUUGGAGGCCAGGCUCAUGCUGGCCUGAGAAUAAAGGAGGGAAGGGGGGAGACAAGGGAGAGAGAAACAGGAGAACAGGGAGACACAAACAUAACAGAAGCCAACAAGGAAGGGUGAUGGAUAGGAGAGCAGAUCCUGAGUGUCAAAAUUUGCUGGAGGGAGUCCAUAAGACUUUGCUCACAUUCAAAGGCCACAGGAUUUGGUGUGUGGAUGGUGCGCAUGUCUGAGGGCUUUCGAGAGAUGCCCCUUGCAAUAUGUUAGUGAGAGUGAGACUAGAAGGAACCAAGGAUAUUCUGAUAAUUGCCUUCACACCAUCUAUCGCACUGUUUUCCCCAAAGACUCUUCUUGCAGGUGUUAUAGUUUCCUGAUUAGUAAGAGCAGCGGCUCUCACAAUAAGCUGGGAGGAAGUAUUUCUUCCUGAUCAAUCUAAGUAUCAUUUUAUUUAACAGUAUAAGAUUAGAACGUGGGAAGUGUCAUGGGUACGGAGCCUUCAAUACCAAUCUGCCAGCAUCUACCAACAAAAAUUAUUAACCAGUUGCAGGAGUCACUCAGGCUCACACAGCCGACUCUCGGAGUUGCCCCAUCUGGUGUGAUUAACGUCACAGAAUGCAUUCUUAAAGACACAAACUGUGUCCCUAAGUGCUUGUCCAUUAAAAACUCCAAAAUGUCACAAAAUGAAGAAAAAAUUAAUUGAAACAUCAAAUCCUAAAUUAGAAGUCUGGGGCAUGGUUAUUUGAAGCAAUAAUUUUAAGAAUGGAAUCAACUUAGGACAAGGUAUGAUAUUUUUAUCUCCCAGUCGCCACGAAGAAUCUCUAUUAUCAGCUUUCUUCCAAAACUUGGAAUAUAUCACCAUUUGGAAUGUUAAUUUUUCCACCCUGGUCACUGUGAAUCAUUAUCACUGAAUUCAGAUGAGUAAGAUUUUAUUUUUUGUUUCUGCUUAACAAAUUCUAGAGCUAUGAGAGAAAAGUUAUUUUCCUCCAAGCUGAGCGAGAAUCAACUGCCUUGAUUUAAAGCUAAGAAUGAGGGAUGCCCGAGUGGCUCAGUGGGUUAAGCCUCUGCCUUCAGCUCAGGUCAUGAUACCAGGGUCCUGG
This 1203-nucleotide long non-coding RNA is filed under the name Mustela putorius furo (domestic ferret). Its description in RNAcentral is "lncRNA (ENSMPUG00000025422.1)". Lineage: Eukaryota; Metazoa; Chordata; Mammalia; Carnivora; Mustelidae. The record is from RNAcentral.